Raphanus sativus (radish) is the source of this 1208-nucleotide long non-coding RNA. RefSeq lists it as uncharacterized. The transcript is spliced from 2 exons. The record is from RefSeq and is a predicted model, not a curated record. Lineage: Eukaryota; Viridiplantae; Streptophyta; Magnoliopsida; Brassicales; Brassicaceae.
UUCAAAAUUAAUUUUAAAACGCCAAGAGAAUAACCUUUCUGGGUUCUGCUCUGUUUUAACUCUUUCUUAUGUGCUUGUGAUGAGGUGGGAGUCAAAUAGAUACUCUUUGUUUUGACUCUUUCUUGUGUGGUUGGUGAUUAUAAUUGCAGAAGAAAGGAUUCUACUCUCACUUACUCUAUAGGCUUUAAAUCAACUCGAGCUAUGGCUCUACUGGACUUCAUGAAGUGAGCCUGUUGAUUGGCUCUGUUCUAAUCUUAGAGAGCCUGAUCUGCCCUUUUCUGCCAUUUUUAAUUUGUCUGCCAUACUUAAGCGUAUCUGUUUCUGUUCAGCUCUGCUCAGGUUUUGGAUGCGUCAUGGUACACGCCUUAUGAGCAAAGGAAUGCGAUCCAAGAAUAUCAGGAGUAAGAGCAUUAGAGUACACUAGUUGAUCCUAAUGGACUUUGUUCUCUCCUACAGUACAGGUUGCUGCUCUCUCUUCUUUGAUUCAGAUCGAUCAACAACUGUAUGAAUCACUAUCUUCUCAAUAAGUGGAAUCUUAUCAAUGUGAGUAUCUAUCUUAUGCUGCCAUUUUCCAACAUAAAGACAUUCAGCAAACUAAUUUCAGUGAGAAUAUAGCUGUGUUCAUUAUGUGAGACCUAUUGAAAAAUAUCAUAAUGUACUCUUUGCUGUUAACUUCAUUUUGUGUUUCCUAUUACACUUCUAAAAGAUGGCCCAUCUAUACAUCAAUGUCUUUUCACAUAUGUUACCGUCUGAGGAAGCUUUUGCUGCUGGUUAUUCUGCUCUUGGAAUUGAUAAUGGAUUGAGUGCUUGUUUAUGAUGCAAAGAGGAUCUUUAGUGCAGCCCGUGUGUGGUGGUGACUCCUGGCUCUGGGGCUUCACCGGCUGGGGAAAACUGAGGUGCCAGUGUAUGAUGGGUCGUGGACAGAAUGGGCAACAGAACCGGACUUACCCAUGGAAAUGAAAGUCCCCUAGUAGCAAGAUUACAAGCCAUUUACAUGGAUACAGUUAUGAUGUGUUAGCUUUGAGGAAUUGGCCUUGAAGUAAUCAAAAUAAUACCAUUGUUCUGUGUUCUCCUUCGGAUAAUCCAUGAACUUGAAGUUGUUUAUCAUCCUUAAACAGAGAUCUCGAAACUAUUAUGUUCAAAGUUGUAUAUAAAGUUUGAUAGACAAGACAUUGACGGUUUCAAUAAAAGUCAGUAUUUGCAUCGAA